This 497-nucleotide ribosomal RNA is filed under the name uncultured bacterium. RNAcentral's name for it is "partial 16S ribosomal RNA". It matches the Rfam family "Bacterial small subunit ribosomal RNA", at positions 28 to 507 of the family's 1533-position model. The record is from RNAcentral.
GACGAACGCUGGCGGCGUGCCUAAUACAUGCAAGUCGAGCGAAAAGACGAGGAUCUUGCUCCGUUGACGAUAGCGGAGGACGGGUGAGAAACACGUGUAUAACCUACUUAAAAGACUGAGAUAACUACGGGACACCGGAGCUAAUACCGGAGAAUAUCUUGCACCGUAUGGUUGAAUAGUGAAAGACGGCUUUGCGGUCUCGUAUAGCUGGAUCUGCGCCGUAUUAGCUGGUUGGUAAGUUAACGGCUUACCAAGGCAACGAUGCGUGGCCGACCUGUUAGGGUGAUAGGCCACACUGGAACUUAGACACGGUCCAGACGCCUACGGGAGGCAGCAGUAGGGAAUCUUCCGCAAUAGGCGAAAGCCUUACGGAGCAACGCCGCGUGAGUGAUGAAGAUCUUCGGUUCGUAAAACUCGGUUAUUAGGGGAGAACAAAUUUGUAAUUAGCUGUGCACGUCUUGACGGUACCUAAUCAGAAAGCCACGGCUAACUACGUG